This 73-nucleotide ribosomal RNA is filed under the name Bacillus sp. WBS3. Its description in RNAcentral is "partial 16S ribosomal RNA". Lineage: Bacteria; Bacillati; Bacillota; Bacilli; Caryophanales; Bacillaceae. The record is from RNAcentral.
UGCUCCCUGAUGUCAGCGGCGGACGGGUGACUUUACGUGGGUAACCUGCCUGUGAGAAUGGGAUAACUCCGGG